RNAcentral lists this unclassified non-coding RNA (2872 nucleotides) under Pomacea canaliculata. Its description in RNAcentral is "cRAL-TRIO domain-containing protein C3H8.02-like, transcript variant X1". The record is from RNAcentral. Lineage: Eukaryota; Metazoa; Mollusca; Gastropoda; Architaenioglossa; Ampullariidae.
CCUCCCUUACGCAGCUGUUGAGGAGUAACAGCUAAAGUGCGUGCCAGGGGAUUAAUAUUAUUGACCAGGCAGCACAGGACAUCUUGAGUGGGCUUCUUCUCAUAUCGCAAGAUGUUUUUUUAAUGCGUCAUGAUGACAGUGUGACUGAACUCAGAAAUAACAUCCUUGUAACCAUGGCAGCAAAUGAUGAAUCUCCAGAAGAUUUUGAGAAGUUUCUGGAACUGAAAGAAAGAUGCAAGAUUCUCUUUGAAGCAGACCCUUCUCAGGCCCAUUCUGAUGCCUCACUAAAAAGGUUCCUCCGAGCAUUUACAGAUGUUGAUGUCGCAAUGAAGCAGCUGCUCAAAUGCAACAAGUGGCGGCGAGAAUAUGGUGUUGACUCAUUGUCACCUGAUGACCCUGACAUAGCUGCGGAAAUGACAACUGGCAAGGUUCACAUUUUGCGUAACCGUGACAAUAAGGGAAGACCUGUGGUGUAUGUGGCAGUCCGCAAACACAACGCUUACGAGAGAGAUAUAGAGAAGUUAAAGAAGUUUCUUGUUUACAUACUAGAGUCUGCAUGUAAGAAGUGCAACGAAAGUGUCAUUGACAAUUUGCUGCUCAUCUUUGACAUGAAAGGGUUCACGAUGGCUUGCAUGGACUAUCAAUUUGUUAAGAAUCUUAUCUGGAUUCUGUCUCGCAACUAUCCUGAGCGCCUAGGUGCCUGCCUUAUCAUCAACUCACCUCUCAUCUUUUCGGGCUGCUGGACUGUUGUCAGACCCUGGUUGAAUGAUGUGACUGCUAGCAAGGUGAUCUUUCUUGCUGGUGAGAAAGAACUGUGCCAAUAUAUCAACCCUGAUGCUUUACCUCCUGAUGAGGAAUUAGGUGCCUGAUCAGGCCACCUUCCAGCAGGAUCUUUUCAUCUCAUCACUGUCAGUAGUCUUGCCUGCUUUUGUUCAACAGUGAUAUAUGCCUCAGGGGCAGCACAUGGAUAGAUACGGCAGCUGACAACACCUAUUUUGGGCAAUAAAGAGCAGGUCUCCACAGGAUGACCAGUCCAGUCUUUGACAUUUGUAAGCCAGUUUUUCCUCUGGCCAACGAUGGUGUUGAUCACCCUACAAGGUACCUCGAAGGACAAUCUUCAACAAGGUGUUGUGCCAGGGCAUAUGGCAAAACCAGACCAGCUUACAUUGACUGUUGCGAGUACAGGUUCCUCAUGUCCUACAAAUGUGGCGACCGUGCUUUGUACAAAGUCAUUAGCUUUGUGUUCUCUGCAUGAAAUCUGCAGCAGCCUUCUCAGGUAUUUGCUUUUAGAUGUCUGGAUUCUCUUCUUUAUAUUGGCAAGCCGAGUCCAUGUUUUAUAUCCAUAGAGAGCAGGAUUGAUACUACAAGAUUGUACUUUGUAGUAAACUUGAUGUUAUGGCUGUGCCAGACCUUGCUACCCUGUUGUGGAGCUGCUGUCCUUGGAGAGGGUGGCUUCCAAGUACUUAAAGCUGUUUACCUCUUUGAGCCAUACACUGUUUAUGUAGAUCUCUGCUUUUCCAUUGCCAGUGCUCAUAACUUCGCUCUUAUCAAUGCUGGUCUCCAUUCACAGUUUUUGACCUGUCUGUCAGUCUGCUGGUAAGAUAUUGGAGUUCUUUAUUGGUAUGUGUAAACAGGUCUAUGUAGUCUGCAAAGUGUAGGUUGCACCAGUGGAAAAAGAAGUGUGAUGGUGAUAGAGUUUUUCACACAUGAUAUUCUCCUAGAAGAUAUUGAACAGCACAGAUGAAAGUGGGAAGCCUUGAUGUACGCUUGCUGUAGUGCAAACAUAAGUUUCUAUUUGGUUACUGCACUCCUUGAAAUACUAUACAGCGCUUUGAUGACUUGGACAAGGCCUUCUUCGAAAGUUGAAUUUUUGCAUCACAUACCAUAGCUUCUCAUACUAAACUCUAUUGAAAUCCUUAAAGUCUGUGAAGUUGUGAUAGAGGUCCUGCUGAUGCUGAAAGUGCUUCUUUGUCAGGACGUGACAGUUAAAGAUCUGCUCAACUGUGCUUUUACCUGGUCUGAAGCCUCCCUGUUCUUCUAUUAGCAGUCCCUCCACUGUGGUACUGAUGCAGAUCUGCAUUACUUUCAGCAUAAGUUUGCUUGGGUGGCCGAUUAAGCUUAUGGUUCUGUAGUUCUGGCACUGUUUGCUGUUUCCUUUGUUGGGAGUGACUUCAUCUAUUCUUUGGACCAUUAUUUACACUCCCAGACCUUUUGGCACAGAGCAGGGAGGGCCUUUGCAGUUUCUUCCCCAACCUGCUUGAGUACCUCAGCUGGAACAUUGUAAGGGUGUUGUAAGCUGGAAUGUUGGAAAGGUGGUGGUGGUUUGAUUGUUGGGAUGUUUUCUGCAUGAGUGAAACCUUUAUGGAAAAAAUUUUUGUUUUGUAGAUCGGUAACCCAUUACAUAUUUUGUUGUUGUUAUCAUCUAUGUUUAUAUCAGAUUUAUACAUAACAAAGAGCUAUAAGUAAACAUAUGAGUACUGGACUUACAUGCAAAUAUUUACGAACCAUAAAUUUGCUUAUAUACAGGAAUGGCAUAUAAAACUUGUACUAUGACACAUAUGUACAGGUGUGUGUGUGUGUGUGGAUCAUGCUUAUAGCCAGUGUAUGUUAAUAAGUGAAUUGUAUAUCAUUGUGUGUCAGUAAAGAGUUUAUCAGUAUUGCUUUUAUAGAGCAGACUAUUUUAAUGCUAUUCUGUGAUAGUGUUGACCAAUAUCAGUUACUAUUCUUUGAUCUGACUGUCAGAUAUUUUUUAGUCAGUUUCAAUAUUGCAUGUGUGGUUAAGGAUCAGGAAAUUCAUUUUACAAAUGUAUCUGUAUUUUGGUUUGAGGGACAUAUAUUUAUAUUUUUGUUAUUAAAUGUGAAUGCUUAUGUA